This 378-nucleotide ribosomal RNA is filed under the name uncultured archaeon. Its description in RNAcentral is "bacterial SSU rRNA". It matches the Rfam family "Archaeal small subunit ribosomal RNA", at positions 982 to 1362 of the family's 1478-position model. The record is from RNAcentral.
GAGAGGUGGUGCAUGGCCGUCGUCAGUUCGUACUGUAAAGCGUUCUGUUAAGUCAGAUAACGAACGAGACCCUCAUCUCUAUUUGCUACCCGUCUCUCCGGAGGCGGCGCACUAUAGGGAGACCGCUGGUGUUAAACCAGAGGAAGGCGAGGGCAACGACAGGUCAGUAUGCCCCGAAUGUCCUGGGCUACACGCGCGCUACAAAGGACGGGACAAUGGGAAGCCAGGCCGAGAGGCCGAGCUAACCCGAAACCCGUUCAUAGUUCGGAUCGAGGGCUGUAACUCGCCCUCGUGAAGCUGGAUUCCGUAGUAAUCGUGUUUCAAUAUAGCACGGUGAAUAUGCCCCUGCUCCUUGCACACACCGCCCGUCAAACCAUC